CCUGACGCAGCAACGCCGCGUGGGUGAAGAAGGCUCUUGGGUCGCAAAGCUCUUUUGUUGGGGAAGAAGCACUGACGGUACACAACGAAUAAGCCUCGGCUAACUACGUGCCAGCAGACGCGGUAAUACGUAGGAGGCAAGCGUUAUCCGGAUUC
Molecule: ribosomal RNA, 155 nt
Filed under: uncultured Chloroflexota bacterium
Lineage: Bacteria; Bacillati; Chloroflexota
Description: uncultured Chloroflexi bacterium partial 16S ribosomal RNA
Rfam family: Bacterial small subunit ribosomal RNA
Source: RNAcentral